RNAcentral lists this ribosomal RNA (468 nucleotides) under uncultured bacterium. RNAcentral describes it as "partial 16S ribosomal RNA". It matches the Rfam family "Bacterial small subunit ribosomal RNA", at positions 28 to 507 of the family's 1533-position model. The record is from RNAcentral.
GACGAACGCUGGCGGCGUGCUUAACACAUGCAAGUCGAACGGAAAGGCCCUGCUUUUGUGGGGUGCUCGAGUGGCGAACGGGUGAGUAACACGUGAGUAACCUGCCCUUGACUUUGGGAUAACUUCAGGAAACUGGGGCUAAUACCGGAUAGGAGCUCCUGCUGCAUGGUGGGGGUUGGAAAGUUUCGGCGGUUGGGGAUGGACUCGCGGCUUAUCAGCUUGUUGGUGGGGUAGUGGCUUACCAAGGCUUUGACGGGUAGCCGGCCUGAGAGGGUGACCGGCCACAAUGGGACUGAGGUAGGGCCCAGAGUCCUACGGGAGGCAGCAGUGGGGAAUAUUGCACAAUGGGCGGAAGCCUGAUGCGGCAACGCCGCGGGCGGGAUGACGGCUUUCGGGUUGUAAACCGCUUUCGCCUGUGACGAAGCGGGAGUGACGGUAAUGGGUAAAGAAGCACCGGCUAACUACGUG